AAGCUGUUUCGUCUGACGACAAACAGGGAUACAUAUGGAAGAAGGGGAAAGCAGCCAAGCGUGCUCGCAUGCCUUAUCACAGCAGCAGCAGCUCGGAAGAGGAUAAACUGGUAGACGUUCCUUGUGAUACCAAGGAAGGUCUUGAAGCGACUCGUGUAGAAAAUGGAGACACAAAGGUGGUGGCAAGGGCGAUCAUUAGCGAGUCCGAGUCGGAGAGGUCUCUUUCAGCUGACUACCUUGACGAACAGCAGAGACGAGAGCAGAAUCACACUCUUAUGAGCAAUAGCCUCGGCCACGGGGACUUUAGAAGUGCCUUGUUCUGGUAUUUCGAGGCUCUGAAAAGUAUCCUCGUUGUUGGACGUUUGUGCACAGUUUCUCAACUUGAGUACUAACUUUCGCUGAGACCUUGGCCGCCUGCAUUUACCCACGUCCGAAGUCUCUGCGGGACUCUUCUUCAGAGGUUCAUCGUCUUCACGUUCCUGAGUUUCUGUAAGAACUUUCCCGUUGCGUAGAAGCCUCUGGUUCUCGUUCUCUCCAGAUGUACCAGGUCUUUUGGCAUCCUCAGCGGCCAGGCGGCGUGCUCCGUCGUCUUCGUACUCAUGUAAGCUCGAAAACAUGGUCAAGGCAUUCCAAGCUGCCAUCCUCAUAGGCCUCAAUGCAUGGUCCGUGUUUGACUUUCUUAUCAGACCUCAAUAUCUGUGUUUCCUCUCUCCUUUAGUUUCCUCAUCGGCAUCAAAAGUGCAUUGUAUGACUCCUCCAAGCGCCAGCGCUUUUGCUUCCUGACCAAGGUCGCAAGUAUCUGUAAUGGAUUAUCAGAAACACAAAAACUUCACGUACAUACCUCUCUCCUUCUUUGGGUACGAACCACUUCAGAAUCUAAUUCGUCAUUUUCUUUGUCGGUUGUUUCUGAUUCACAGAUCGUACCACUUUCUUCAUUUCCAUCCUCGUCACUCAAGAAACUGGGAUAAAGAAGUCACCGGCUUGAGUGACGAGUCUGGUUCUGACUACUGCGCGAGCGAAGAAAGCUCUCCGCCGGUUGUUCUACCCAUCUGUUGCCUUGCUUGUUUGUUUGCUCAAUCGCUUGCAGAGAAGAAACUGAGGCUUAUCCUGAGGAAUGAAAGCUGGAUCAUCAAACGUUCCCACUGCGAGCUGAACUGAUGGUGGUUGCCAGUAGCAACCUAGGAGUCCCAGACGACGUUGCUGGUACGAGCUUUGAUAAGGUUCUGGAUAGGGAAUCAAGCCUGAAAAUGAAACAGAAAAAUAAGUUGGCCGAGGUAAGAAGUCACCAGCUUACUUGCAUCGCACAAGAGAUCUUGAAGAUUCCUUUGAUGAGGAGGCAACCGAGUUUCCUGUUAAAGAAAGACAUUCAGUUCGCACAAGAAUAAUACCGGACAGGAACAACACUCAGGACUAAAACUAAAUAAAAGCACUUACAUCAUUUUAUUUGACUGAUCGAGAACGUUUCCAUCCAAGAAAAAACUAGAAAAAACAAAAAUAAUAAAUAAUAAAUGCAAAAACAACAAGCUAUUGGAUGAAAGAUAAAAAGCAAAAUCUUCCUGAUACCUGAUCGUAUUACGCACCUUCGUCGUCUUGACUACCAACGAGGUUCCAUCCCUGAAAAUUAGCAAACGUGAAAUCCAGGAUAAAUGGAUAUGAGAGCAAGCAUACGGUGAAAAUUGUCAUCGACAAGAUUAUAAUCUCCAGUCUCAUAUGUUCUUACUGGAUGGCCCUGCCAAAUCUAAAACAAUCAAGUGAUAUUCGUCAUCAUUCUUUUGAGCGAACACACUUACAUCCCAGACAGUACCUCUGCCAUCGUAGCCCGGACUCAUUGCAAUAUGAGGAUUGCAUGGAUGUACAUCUGGCACGUAAGUCUCGGCAAUCUGCACAUCCGUGUUAUUCCAUGAGAGCCCCAUAAGAUGUCUUUACCUUGUCAUCCUUGAAAAAGUCGACGGAAGAAACUUUGAUUGGCUCUGCACAACCACUGGAACAAAGGACGAUUGAUGUCAACAAAGACGCGAACCUGAACUGCAUGUAGUUAACUUCUUGCGUCCCAAACCUGUUCAAACAAUUGCUAGAAAUAUAAACAGUCCACUUUUAAUGCUUACCCUGGCAAGCUUGUCCGAAUUCCCAGUGACGAAAUAUGAUCCAUCUGCAUUAAACGCACAGAACUGAAUCUGAUUCGUAGCCUGUGCUCCAUUCUCAGCUCCUGCAGCUGGAAACAAGCUUUUAGAAGACCAGAAAAACAUCGGCAGACUCUUUACAUUCGGGCUCGCCAUCCGGCUUCGGCAUGUAGACACGUGAAUUGACAGAGGUUCCGUCUUCAGGUCGGGGACUAAACUUGAUGGCCGUUACGUGGUCACGAAGUGUUGCAACCGGAACACCAUCUGGUAAUCCACUAAAGGCAGAAGCAAAACGAAUCAAAACAAAAAACAGGAGGAAUCGUCAGAAGCUGAUGCAACUAAAGUGGAGGUUCCUACUCUUUCGGGAUCAGGAGCAUUCUCGCUUUUGGAAUGUAAGCCUUGUCUUUUCGAAUAUUGCGGUUGCUGAUCCGAGCAAACUACUGGCAGCGAGCAAAGAAAUGCUACAAGUAUCUCUACGAAGCGAAUAGAACAAAUGCAUUGGCAAGCUGACCACAUGCUCUCGAACUUGGUGGUGGAUUUGCAAUGCAUCGCAAUAGAAAAUAGGCUUCGCCUUUGUAGCUGCGGAGGUUUGGACUAUGCAAGAACUUGGCUGGCUGGCUGGUUUCGAUUACUGUGCUUAAAAACCUGGCUUUUUUGUGGGAGGUAGCCGAUUUGUCUGUAAGUAGUUCGAACGCGGCGGUUAAUUGCUUGGACACUUUCGCAUCACGCGAACACGCAGUUGCUGCAAGAGCUUGUUGCCAACGUUCUUACACCUGCAAAUCAUCUUCUUGUCAACAUGGAAAACCAAUAAAGAGCUUCGCGACACACAGUACCUCGGCAACUUGCGCCUCGCUGAGUGGGAACGACAAACAUCGUCAUUUUCAUCAGCGGUGGGCGUCCCAUUCCUGGAGAAAAAUUCAAGGUACCUCCGGGGCAAGAACUUGUGCUGUAGGAACUCGUUCCAGGGCUGGCCAGUGGCUCUCUCGCAAGGGCCGCGACUCAGGAAAUGCAUGAUAAAGAAAUGGAGAUCACCUCGAUCUCCUCGUUCAGCUCUCUAUGUUUCAGGUCCAGUGAGUCUGCACGAGCCGUCAGCUAAGCUGCAUGAACCCGAGUCUACUUGAAGACAGAAAACUUGAAAGCUUUGAUUGAAUCGUGUUCCGUUAUCAUACAAAGCAAUUGAAGUGUACCCAGUGAAAUCCGGGUCUGCUGAAUAAACAGUUACACUGAUCCACCUACAAGGAAGUACUAUUAGACACUGCCAAGCCACGUCCAUGUCUAUGUUCUUGCCCGGAAAAGACUUACUAUCAGAAGCUCAAGACAUGAGUCAUUUUAUUUCGAGGAAACGAAGAUCCGAAUCAGAAGCUUUUUCCCUGUCGAAAAACAAAAUAGUUUUGUCGAACUUCCUAUGAAUCAACUACUGAUCACUGAACAUGGUCAGCAGCAGCAGCGCCACUUCUGUGCGGUUUGCACACCACUGGAUGAUCAAGCAAAUAAUUUCAAGAUUCGCACAAGCCAGAACUUCACAAAUGCUUACCGGAUUAGCUUGGCCCUGGGCUGCCUCAGCUCGCAGAGCAUUUCGCAGCAUCCUCAGUUCCUCCCUCAAGGCACCAAAAUCCUGUAUCACCUGCCUGAGGCUGGGAAGGUCCGCCUUGAGAACUCCACGGAGAGCCUGCAGAUCCUCCUUGAGAGCUCCACGGAGAGCCUGUAGAUCCUCCUUCGCUGCUCCCCUGGUUGAAGAAGCCAUGGUAAUGACGCUCUUGGGGAGGAGGUUGAUGAUGAGCAUGGUUGCAACGCAAGUUGCCGCAAUGACAACACAAGCACCCGCGACCGCCACAAUCACAACAUCCAUGGAAGCUGCGGAGACGACGAACCCUAGAUUUUACAUGGAGGGAAAAUUUGCUCACCCUAACCUCGGGCAGCCCUUCUCCGAAAUUUGCUGCAAUCCGGGAGCAAGAUCUGCGAGAGAGGUCCUGCCAGGAUUUUCUGCGCUGCCUUGGUACAAGCUCGUAUAGCUUGGACCUUUAAAGCCUCCCGCUCCCCUUCCAAGCGACGUGAUCGAUCUUCUGGCAGAAAAGCUCGGAGAACAGCGACAGAAGAGAAGCGCGAGGCCAAUCCACGUCGGGAGAAGCGGUCCCCGAUGGUUCCACUCGAUUUGGAGGCGGCGGCGAGGCUGCCUGGCUGCCCUGAUUUCGGCUUGGGCACCUCUGCAAGAUCAUCGCGCAUGACAUCCUCGUCGCCGUCAAUCUGUACCUCCUGUGGAGGCCUCGCCCUGGAGAAGAGCUCUUCUUUGUUGUCGGCACUGCCGGCUCCAGCACUGGCUCUGGCCGUGGCGGCUUGCUCCUCCAUUUCCAUGGCUUCCACCGUCUUACCUUUCCUCGCGCGGUGGCGCGGCGCGACGGCGUCUCCGGAGCUGGAUUGGCGGCAGGAAUCGAUGCUGCUCUUGUGCCACGGGCGUGGAUUCUUCCCAACGGCAGUGGGCCGGAGGCGCUGGAUAUCUUCCUCCGCGGGCGCAUUCUCGGGAAUCUUGAUCUUGUCCUGGUGAUUUCGCGAGGAGCUGUGGAUCUUGGCGCCGGCGUGGUGACUCCGCGAGGUUUUGUGGCCAGAGUAGGAGCAGCGGAUCGAUCCAGGACCAGGACAGGAUUUCGUCCUCUUGUUCCUGGCGGGGGAUUGCUGGUGCCAGGGGUGAUCGCCGUCGGCUUCCGGAUCGAAGGGGAGCUCACGUGGCCUCGACGACAAGAGAAGGAGGGGGAGGAAGAGGAGAAGGAUGGCACUCCAUCUCCUCACUCGAUCCUUGGCAGAUCUCCAAGCCCUGUUGGAGCUCCACAGGAAAGCAGCCACAUAAAACACGAAGGAGGAACAGCUGUGAUACCUUGGAUUCACAGUGAGUUUCUUUCUUCUCUAUUCCUUUAUUUGGCCUCUCCAAGCCCUGCAAAGUGGAGAAAGCGUUGCGUGCGUGGAGCAAAAACUAAAACCCAGCAGUGGUCAACCCUCGACUUGAAAACGAGAACCUCUGGCUCAGCUUCGAGAGCAAGAGCUCCGAUCCGAUCACUGUUUUUCUUGGUGUUACGUAUAAUCGCCAUUUUUCCAAAGAGGUCCUUUAAUUCCUUUAUUUGUUUGGCUCCAAGGGGAGUAUCAUGGGAGCUCUAGAAAGAAUUACAAGCUUUCAUACUUAAACCGACUCAAAGCUUUCCAGGUAUAAAAAGAUCCUCCCAACUCGGGACAAAAGGUGUGCUCGUGAAUGCUCGUAGUCACUGCGAAGUCUGUCAGCCGGCAAGUCAAUGCUGAAGCUGUUGCCGCGAAUCCUGUACACGUCCAUAAACUCGAGAGUGAGCCGGCCCAACACUCCGAGAAUGUACUCCAGUUAGGUGAUCUCGCAGAACGCUCGGAGUUCUCACCCUUCCAUCGUCGUCAAGCUAGUGUUGAUGUCCCUGCGAUCAGUUUCAAUUCAAACAUAAUUCAAGGCAAGCUCGUUGGAUCUCUUACCCCACUUACCCACCUUGCGCCUUGAUCAAGUAUUUUAAAAUCCGCACAAAAUCAAAAUUUAACAAAUGCUUACAUGAUAGAGGGAUGUGGAACACCAUAAUUUGGUUGUGGGUAUGUCCUCUUUCAGUGUGCCAUGAAGUGCCUGGAGGUCCUGCUUGAUUGCAGCAUGAAUUGCGGAAGUCAUGACUGCAGUAUAUGUAAGAUUAUAAACUUAAAUUUUAACAACAAACAAACUCAAAUCUUUGUGAUUGAUGGAUGAAUGAAGAAAACGCUAACAUAACCAUUAGCAUAUAGCUAUUACUCUCUAGUGUUUGUGUGAAUGAAUGAAUGAAUGAUAGGAUUGAAUGAAUGGAUUGAACGAAUGAAUGAAUGAUAGCAAAACUUGUUAACAAUAAUAGGAGGCGCAGGAAGGAAUUCAUUUGCGAAUUAUCCUUACCUGAAACUCUCUCCCUCCUCAUCCUCCUGCCGCACCGAGCAAACUAAAAAGCGCUCUUAGUUCAGUCCGGUAGAACGCAGGUCUCCAAAACCUGAUGUUGUAGGACUUUAAGCAUGUUAGCUACGUAAAGAUUACAAAAUUUUAAAUAUUUUAUUGUGGAAAGUCAAUAAGAUUCCAAAGUAGUAUAUUUAAGAUUUUGUAAUCCUAGUUUUAAUGUCAUUUGCCUGAAAAUCUGAGAGGACUUAACUCAUGUCGUCCGGGAAAUAAGUUUGAAAAUUUCCCACUAUAGUUCUCACUGAAAUGUUCAAACCCUAUUUCAAAUCAAGAUUCGUAUGUGUUUGAGAGCAGCACGUAACAAGACGAGUUCGUUUCAUCCAACUUCUGCACUUGUUGAGCAAUCUUUCGUUUGGUUAUUCCCAUGAGUGAGUCCAAGCAACGGGACUAGGAUGGAAGGGCAAGUUGUGAAUCAAAUCCUGAGCUUCAGCCAGCCUUCCUGCUCUUCCCAGAUGAUCGGCGAUGCAGAUGUAAUGCUCAGCCAUGGGAUCAACACCAUAGUCGUUUCUCAAGCUCACAACAUACGUCCACCCGUCUUUCAGCUCCCCACAGUGACAACAAGACGAAAGCACCGCGAUGAAGGUGAUUCCAUCCGGUUCAACUGCAUCCAAACCCAUCUCCUUGAAGAGAUCCAGAGCUAGCAGGCCAUGACCACUCUGUGCAUAUGCCGAUAUCAUCGCACUCUAAGACACCGUGCGUCUUUCAGGCAUCGCAUCGAAGAUCCGACGAGCCUCCUCCAAACUCCCGCACUUCCCAUACAUUGUCAGGAUCGACGUCGAAACCGGCUCCAACGCGCUGAAUCCGGCGGGGACGGCUUCGGGGUGGAUCAGCUUCCCGACUCUGUGCAACAGUCGACUCUGAGCAACGAGACCGUUGCACAGGCGUCGAAGAUCGUAACGAAGGUGAUCUCGUUGGGUUGCAAGCCUUCAAGAUCCAUCUUUCGAAACAACGCGAUGGCCUGCUGAUUAUGCCCGUUGUGCGAAUAUGCCGCAAUCGUAACGUUCCAGGAAACCACAUCUCUGCAAGGCAUCUGAUUCAAGACAUCCACAGCUUGAUCAACCAGUCCGUUCUGAGCAUAGGCUGUGACCAUUGAGUUCCAGGUCACGACAUCCCUCUCAGGCAUCUUUUCAAACAACACCCUUGCCUCACGUAAAUGACCGUUUUGCGCAUACGCUCUAACGAUCGUCGUCCACGAUACGACAUUCUUCUCCGGCAUCGCAUCAAACACCAUCCUCGCAAGUCCCAAAUCGCCCUCCGAAGCGUACGCAGCUACGAUCGUGUUCCUUUGCUGAGGCAUUCCGUCAAACAAAACCUUUGCUCGAGCGGUGUCGCCAUUUUGAGCAUACGCGGAGAUCAUCAGCGACCACGAAACCAGAUCUCUCCUCGGCAUCUCUUCGAACAAUGUCUCGGCCUCGCGAAAACGCUUCGUGUGAGCGUAACCAGAUAUCAUCACAUUCCAAGAGACGACGUCUUUCUCGGGCAUCAACUCGAAAACCUUCUUCGCUUCGUCUUAAUGUCCGUACUGACAAUACGCAGCCAGCAUGGCUGUCCAGACCAGAACAUUCCUCUCAGGCAUUCCUUCAAAAACCUUCCUCGAAUCCUCGACUUUGCCGUUGCGAGCGUACGCCGUGAGCAUCGCGCUCCAGGAAACGACGCUUCGAUACGGCAUCAGAUCGAAGAAAUCUUAUGAUGAGUCUAAAUCACCCAUCUGCCAGUAGGCAGUGAUCAUCGUCGUCCAGGAAGCCACAUCUUUAUUACCCAUGCUCUCGAACAAGCUUCUAGCAUGCAGCAGACGACCAUUCUGCGCAAACACUUCCAUCAUCACGUUCCAGGCGACUAUAUCACGACCAGGCAUCGAAUCAAACAGAUCCUCAGCCUCUUCAAGACCACCAGUUCUUCCGUAGGCUUCUAGCAUUAUCGUCCAGGAAACCACAUUCUUGAUCGGCAUCUUACCGAACAAAAUCCUCGCUUGCAGCAACUGACCAUUCUCUGUAUAUGCACGGAUCAUGAUGUUCCAAGUGAACGCUAUUUAACACUAUCAAACACGUCGCGAGCAUCAGGCAAACUCCCGCAUUUCCCGUACAUCUGAACGAGCAGAUUGCAGAGGACUGUGUUGGACGCAUGGAUCUCUCUGUGAAGUUGUUUCCCUCUGGCUAAGUCUCUGGUAAGAGCGCAGGAUUUCAGCAGCGAGACGUACAGAGCUGGGCUGAUGGUGGUGCUAGAAACGCACAUCUCUGUCAACUGAAUCAUCGAUCUUGUACAGCGCUAGCCUACAGCUUCUAUCUAAACUGGUUUUGCGACUUCCAUAUCAACAAUCCGGCUUGUUUCGUCGGUGCUCGUUUUCUUCUUCGGUUUCUUCAUGCCGCUCAUGUAGACGGACAAGUAGGCAAUGCUGAGCAGCAAAGUGACGAGUGUAAAAGCAGCACCCACAACACUCAUGCCUUGCAGAACAGUGCUGCAACCAGAUUCUUCAAACCUUUCCACUUGAUAACUACUGAGGCUGGCCGCCGUGUUCAAGAAGAGCUCAGCGAUCACCGGCCGUUACCACAAAAGUUGAUCUUUUAAAUAAAUGAUUUUUAUUUUUUUUUGCUGAAAAUACCAGGAAAGAGUGAGGAGGAUAAUUGCAGCAAUCUUGCAUCCGCGUCGAUGAAGCGACGAAGACCAGCAAGUGCAUUUUGUGGCGGCUGUGGCGGUGAUUUGGCCGAGAAGCAAACACACAGCAGCUCCGAUAGCUAAGCCGCUUGCUACCCCUCCUCUCUUGGGAGUGCAUCAGAUUCUGGUGUGAUCAGAUGAAAUCUCGUCUUGAAUGGUUUCCUACAGCCAGAAAACGUGAAUUCAAGGGCGAAGUGAAGGCGGCUUACAUGAUAACUUGUGGACGAAGAACCGACUGAAAGGCCGAACGCGAGGAGAUCCAACGCAAAUGUAAAUGCAGCAGCGGGAUAAAGAGAUAGCCUCAUUGAAACUCUUGCAACUGGGAAUGAAUCAAUUGAAGCAAAAGCAGAGUAAUGUAUAUGUAUUAUUUAACAUACAAUUAACAAAAUGUUUGCAAAAAACAUUAAUUCUAUGAAAAUAGUCAACUCUAUGUUUUGUUACAUUCCACUGAGGAAUGUUGUCACGAAGAGUGGCGGUCAAGCUAUGUUGCUAUCUUCCUCCUUGAGCGCAGUUUGCCGAGCGUAUGGGGAAUUCUAAUCGGUACAUAAUAUUCUUUUCCAUACAAAGAAUAUUUUUAAGUGUCAAGUUUAAGGAUUUUAUAAAAAUAUAAUUAUUAUUUUGUAUUUAUAUAUUUAUAAUUAUAUUUAUAUAUAUAUAACUAAAUAUAAACUAUAAUAUAAACAUAACUCUUCUUGAAGACUUGUUUCCACCAGUCAGUCCCCAUUACACAGUGACGUGAGCGAAUUUGUCUCUCGUAAACUUUGAACUCUUCAACUAUUUUCGCUGCUAUCUGCUAACAAACAAUAGUAUACCAUGGGAACUGGAAAUGUUCUGGCUCGUCAAGGAGUGUAGCAUGUGUUCAGGAUGUCCUUGUUCUUUGCAACCUUGGAGUAGGGGGAACCGAAAAUACACAUGGCAACGAUGCUUUCCUGAAAAAACGAACAUUAAAAAGUACCAAUUUCGAAAGGAUGAGUUACCUUUCCAGGAGUCCUAGCACAUCAGCGAUUUGUGUUGGCCGCUACUUAACUCAACACAGAGUUUGUUUUACCUCUUAGAGCCUCUGCUCUCGAGUCCUGCCGUGUCAGUGAGUCCCGCCACAUCAGCGUGUCCUGCCAUAUCAGCGAGUCCCACCACGUUAGCAAGUCCUGCCACAUCAACGAUUUGUGCUGGUCGCCACUUAACUCAGAAUAACCUUUCUAAAAAUACGGUAUCCCCAGGACCUUGCCGUGUGCGCGUAGUUUGUCUGCAGGAACUUCAGCUUGCAAGUUUCUGCAGUGUUAUUCAAAGCCGGCAAAUCAUCCGAUAGCACAAACACCACCAUGUAGCCAGCUCUGUCUAGUAUCCCGAAAGCAGUGUUCACCAAGUUCUUCAGUAAAGCAUCCGAGAACUCCGUAUACUGAUCAACCACCCCGGCUCAGCAACGCAUCUAGUAGGCGAAUCGAUGAUGAGAAGAUGAACAGCUCCCUGGACACAUUUCGGUAGAGACUUUGCACAAAAAAGUGAACAGUUCAGCUUUACCUGUGACUGACAAUCCAAUCCUCAAGCUCCUUCAGUCCUGGCGGAAAAGGUCUCCCAGCUUUGAAGUACUACUGGACUGCAAGGUUUCCUGAAUCUGCAUGAAUGAUUUCCCAACUCCCGUUUCCGUUCUCUGGCAUCAGCAUCCUCAACAUAUCACCUUCUUCCGAUCUGGAGACGGGGCUGAAGAAAAAGCCUGGCCCUUGCUGCCCUUGGUGGCCGAUCUUGCUGACUUGAUAUCCAUCUUCACCUGGAGCUUCCUCACAGCACUCUCGUUCUUCCACAAUAGCUCUCACCGAUAAUCCUUGUGUAUCUUGUAGCUGGCCAUCUCCCAUUCCGGACAGCCACCGGGAAGGAAAUCCAGCCAGAAAGAACAGUACUACACUUCAAAAUCGCUAAUGUCACACAUGAGCCUGCUCCACAUGUUGCAACAUCCAUCUACUCUUCGGAGUGCAUCAUUUUUCCAUUUGAAAAACCAUAAAUAGAUAAAUAUAAAUAAAGAAACCAAUUAAAGACUUGCCUGUCUUUUCGAACUCAAAUAACUGAGAAUGUAAAAUUGUCGCACUGAACUCCUUGUUCUCACGCAUGCUCUGGUACAUAUCUAGCUCGUGCAUCUUCAUAUACCAGGCCAUAAACUCGUCAACGUAACUGCUUGCCUGUUCGACCUGCAAGUGCCAUUCCCAUUAGCUUUUUUCACAACUUUCUAAGGAGGUCUAAGACCUCCCAACCAAGAGUUCCUUUGCAUUUGGUACUUCUUCACCCACCGAGGUCGCUCCUAUGAAGAUAGAUAACAAUUAAGUAAUAUAUCAACAAAGCAAAAGAGGACUUCAUCCACCUCUAUGCUAAGUCCCAUUACUCUUUCAAUGGCAACAAAUUUCAUUUUGUCAAUAUUUAAACUCUUAUUACACAAGUUCUAAUAAACCAGAUACCAGGCACAAUAGACUCAGCUUAAUUCGCAUUGCAAGGUUUCCUUUGUUCCUUUGGCACUAAGUGGUUAGUAGCGUCAGUGCUCUCCAUUCUCAAUAGGGUACUAAAACAACUGGUACUCCACCCACCACGUUCGCCCAUUAUGUCAACCGACAUUGCCAAAAGACAUACCAUCUUGUUUCUCCAAGUGAAAUUACACUCUUUGAUGAAAACCGCCUAAUAGAGUUUCAGCUGCCUUCAGUGACUUGCAUAUUCACUAGCGUUCGGUUAGUUAUUUCCCCCACAAGCCACUAAUCCUAGAUAAUCAAAAAACUCGGACAACCAGAUAUCCACAUCUCUCACAGGGACAAGUUUUAUCCAAACAUGAGGUGGUUUCACUCCACCAAGCCUUUUGGUUAUGCCUGCAUUUCAACGCUUCCACAAUUUAAUAACUUCAGUUCCAAAUCUGAGCAUUGUGGAGCUCAUACACUAAAGGUUAUCUGGUUCACCCAGAGCCUUUACGAGCCUACCAAUAACCAAGAAUUUCCAAAACCACAUUACAGGUUUUCAAGCUCUUCAAACUCUCUCUAUCGGUAAACUAGUUCUCCAGAGUUUCAGUUAGGUUCUCUAGUUAGCCAGGAAGAAAAACUCUUCCUACAGAUUAGCAUUCGUUUAGCUUACAACAACUUGUAGCCAGCAAGGAAUCCCAACAUGUUUUGAGUUGACAUCCCAUUUCGCAGUUCAUCUGUUUGAAAAUAAACUAAAGAAAAUUAAAACAGUCAACUAGUCUCUCUGAUACCAAAUGUCACGUGGACUCAUUUCUGGUACCACGUGUUGCGGCUGCCCUCUCAAGCAGCCUCGACUCGGAGCUUCUAUUUUACCAACUUUCGAGCUCAGAUUAUUAACCGCGCGCGACUUUAGGUUUAACACAUUUUAGAGGUUGGCGGCUAUGGCGGCUGAAGCGGUGAGGGAGCUGAAGAAAUCGCUCAACGACGACGAGGGUUUCUUUGAUAGGCACGAAGAGAUGACUGAUCUGCUCACACAUAUUGAGGGAGACCUCAACCGCAUCGCUAUAGUGAUGGGCCCCAACGAUUCAGGCAAGUCCGCUCUACUCAAGCAGCUCAGGAAGAUGUGGGAUGCCAGCCCUCUACUGAAAGCCCAGUUGCCGCUCUUCUACGUCGACAUGAGGGCUGCGAGUUCCCCGGAGGAGGCUGCUGCACAGAUUGCAAGACAGAUGCGAACUUGGGCUUCUUGGCUCAAAGAUGUGGCAGCAGCCCUUCUGAAGACGAUCGGAGGUGUUAGUGUCGAUCUGAAGAAGCUGAUGUUCAAGGGCGUAAACCUUGAUGCAUCAAGCUUUCUAGAGUUGUUAAAAGCGGAACCAGUGAAGGACUUGGGCUCUGUCAUGAGUUGGUUUAUGAGCCUGGCGGCUGAAAACCAGCAUAGAAGGCCAAUUUUUGUCAUCGAUGAAGCUCACAGAUUGAAGUGGUGGUCCAACCAGGAUGUACGCACCCUCCUGGGAUGUUUCACACCCAUGACCAAAAAAGACCAAACUGCUAUGGUGAUUAUGUCCACCUCCGACGACUUUUUUCGGCAGUAGUUUCAAAGUCACACAGACAUUAAGCAAUGGAGGUCAAUUGCUGUGGGGCACUUUGGUGAAAAGAACGCCAAGGCAUUCUUGUCAAGCCUCGUCACCAAGCGCAUAGCAACAGGUGCUACAGCUCCCGACUCAUGGUCGGAGCAAAGGGUGUAUGAGAUCUGUGGUGGCUGCCCUUUAACACUUGAGAACUGUGUGAUCGAUGUGUUUGAGCAGGGAAGCAGCAUGGAGGUAGUUCUCGAAGACAUGGUGGUGGCACAGCUGCCCAAGAUUCUCCUGGGACUGGAGCAUGGUCACGGCUGGGAAGAGGCUAAGUUCAGGGAGGUGAUGAAGCUCAUUGUGGCGCAUGGUGCAGUUGGGCUGUUGAAGAUUUGCCGCCGUAUCUUCAAGUUGGACAUCUCGGAGUGCCAGCGGCAGAUCAAAGCGAUGCUCUCCUUCAAUGUGAUACAUGUUCGUUACAUGCUGCCGGGACUGGUUUAUGAUGAUCUUCGAGACUUUGACAGGGGGCCUGCCAUGAACUGUGAUUUCAUCAUGGCAAGGUCGCCUACCCACCAUGUGGCUAUGAAAAUGUUUUGUGAUGGUGCGUUUGACGAACCAGAUGAAUAGAAACUUAGAAAUGUGAAUAUCAUAUUAGUCCCUCAUCAAAGCAACAAAGACAAACUUUUGCAAACGAUUUCAACUUUUGCUAAGCUUCGUUUUCCAUCCUGCAAGGAUCCCCGUGAAUGUGCAAACAGCACAUGCCUUUCUGUCACAGCCUUGAGUUCCUUCUUGAAAGAAUGCUUCGACUUGAAGAAGACGGAGGCGGGCAUUUUGAUCCGGACUUGUGUGACCAGCGCUUCCAGCACUCGUCUUCUGUCACCAAAGCUGAGCCUACCGAAACAAGUACCAGACCUGCUUUCUGAUCUUCUCGAGCUGCACUCGUCGCCAUCGCUGUUCUCCGCCAUCAAACCCCACGAUGUGCUAUCUGGACUGAUUGGCAAACGCUGCUUCUGCUCGGUGAUGUCCAGUAAGAGAACGUUGCAGUUGUUGCUAAAUCUCCCGGGAUAGCAGUAGUCGUCCCUGUCCCUUCCGUGGAGGAAAAACGAUAGAGAUCCGUCAGGAAGGCCGAAGAUCUCAAACACCGGAGCCAGAGCAACCCGCAAUCCAUUCCUCGAGGGGUGGUAUGAUUCGGCAGCCCCCCACCGAAAGAAAUCCCCAAGUGACAUAGACUAAGUUCCCCAGCUCCGGAUUCUGAUGCACCCAAAUACCCACCAGAUUCCUGACCCCGUUGAUGAAUCUGAACAGCGCCUUCUGCGACUGCAGCCCAUUCCUCCAAGUGCUCAAGUCGAUGUAUUCCUCCGCUUCUUCUUCUCUAACCAGCCUUUGGCACUGCGGGAACCAGACCUUAUCAGAGCUGCAGACGUCUCGAAGCUUGCAAGAAGUGGCGCUGAGGUUGCAGAGAUCUCUGUGACAGACGCGGCUGGAUAUCAACCCGAACACAUCGUCCGGAAGAUCAGUCAACAAGCCGUCGUGAUCUUUCAUCAAGGAAAAAAACAAGCUCCUCGAUCACGCAUCAGAGGUAACAUUAUCAGAGGUAACAGCAGCGACAGGAACAGCCAGCCACCAAGCCAACUCCAUUCGGAAAUAAACUGUUAGAGAAUCCUCGAAAAGCGCACAAAUAUCACAUGUUCCUCUACCAUACAAAGCAAUUGAACCCAGUGACUAUCGGCAGCUCCAAAGGGUCUCAUCCACCUACAAGAAAGUACUAAUUAGACACUGCCAGGCCACGUCCAUGUCUAUGUUCUUGCCCGGAAAAAGACUUACUAUCAGAAGCUCACGACAUAUAAGCCUUUUUAUUUCUGCAGAUCCGAAUCAGAAAAAAAAUUCCUGAGAAAAAAGAGAUCAGUUCGUCGUUUCUAUGAAUCACUGAACCAGCAGCAGCGCCACUUUGCGCUUUGGACACGACCUGAUCAAGCCAUCCAAACCCUGAUCCAGUAUUUUAAAAGCCGCACAAAAUCUAGAUCUGACAAAUGCUUACCUGAUAGAGGGAUGUGGAACAGUCGACCAUGACUUGGUUGUGGGCUGCUAUAACAUCCUCCUUCACUGUGUCGUGAAGUGCCUGGAGGUCCUCCUUGAUUGCAGCACGCAUAGCCGCAACGUUCAGUGCUCCAACCACAGCAACAAAGUCCUCCUUCAAGGCACCAUGGAUCUCCCUCACUGCUGCACGAAUGGAUCCCAUUCCUGCUCCAACCAUGGCAACAACGUCUUCCUUUAUGGCACCAUGGAUUGCUGGCACAUCCUCCCUCACUGCACCAUGGAUCGCUUGCACAUCCUCCCUCACUGCCGCAUGAAUGCCGGAGGCCAUCACCUGGAGAUUCUCAGUCACGGCUCCCAUUCUUGCACGCAUGGCAGAUGCCAGCACCAUGGGCCAUUGGCCACUUAAUUGGUGGGCCGCCGUUCGUACAGUGGUCUGACGGGAACUCGAGUUCCUUGUCAGUGGAUUCUCGCGAUUUCCAUCAGUACGCGGCCUCGAUGACAAGAGGAGGAGGAAGAGGAGAAGAAUGGCGCCCCAUCUCCUCGGCUUCCUUCUUCCUCAUGGUUUUCCAGGGAUGAGAGUGAUCCUCGGAAUAAUCUCGUGUUUGACAAUGUAGAUGGAUGUGUAAGGAAAAUGUUUCUAUUCUUCGUUAACUAAGACCUCGAGAAUUUUUUUACAAAGCUCACAUUUGCAGUGCCUCAGAGAAGCGUUCUCUCAGCCGCUCCACCUUGAGCACCGACGAAUGCUGUUUCCCAAAAUAUGUCCGGAAGUUGUCGAUCAGUAUCCUAAGAUCGUGUGACACCGCCAUCACGCUACGAUAAUAGUUGUUCUCCAGCCGCUCGCGAAUCACGUCCAUGGAGAUUGGUAGCGCAAUCCUGCAUUGAUUGAAAACCUUUAGCUUCUUUCUCAAUCGCAAGAGAUUUUUCCAACUUGCCUGUCAAGAAAAUCCGGCUUGCUCACGGCCUGCUGCAACCUCCACAAGUCAUACUCGUCCUGCGAAAAGCAAAAGUUCGUCAAGCCAAAAGCAAAAGCAAAACCUUCCUCGAGUCUAUGAUCGAUCGCACAAAAACAAACCUUGGAUUGGUUCGAGUGGAGCACCUCGUCCACGAUGUCGAGCAGCUCACGCACCUUGUCCUGCUCGAUCUGUGGCGACUCCCAAGUUAAAGGAUUCUCAACGUCGUGAAGCUCCCAGGGGCAGUGGUUCGUCGUCGAUGGCUCGUCCUUGUACAGCACACUGAUGCUGUCCCAGGGGCUGUUUGGAAACUCGGGCGACUUUGCCUUCACCUGAGUUAUCGUCCCUUCCCACCAGCGACCACCUUCUUCCUCGUCCGACCUCCACCACACUUGGCACUUGUCCCGACUGGACCACUUCCUGGCCAUGGAGGCCUCGUAGCGGCUUCUCUCCACUAUAAAGUCGGCGAAGUCUGUCAGCUCCGGCAAGUCGACGCUGAAGCUGCUGCCGCGAAUCCUGUACCCGUCCAUGAACUCGAGAGUCAGCCGGCAACAAGUGUUCCCCGACACUUCGAGAAUGAUGUACUCCAGUCCGGUGAUCUCGCAGAACUCGACCGCUUGCAGUGCCCUUUUCACGCUUCUCCAGGGACCAUCGUCGUCGAGCCGCUUGUUGUCUAAGUAGUCUUGAUGUCCCUGCGAUCGACAGUUUCAAUUCAAACAUAAUUCAAGACAAGCUCGUUGGAUCUCUUACCUGUCGGAAGUACACCACCUCAUCACCAUACUGUGGGAUGUAGCGCGUCCGCUCCACCUCUCUCAAGAGUAACCAGGACACGUUGCUCGGACUCCGAUGCACCGUGCUGAGGUUUCUCCUCACGUGGAAAUCCUUGUACCUCGACCCCACGUUCUUAUGCAGCUUCACUUUAAGUCUGCUCGAAGUUCUUCUUUCGGGCUUUCGGCGUCCAUUGUCGUCGCUGCUUCUAUCCCAGUCCGAGUCGUCGUAAGACGAGCUAGCUUCCCAGUGUGAGGGACGGCCGACGUUUCUCCUGCUUCUUGUGGACCUGCUGUUGGAGAGACUAACCACGCGACCCUGCGCCAGCCGUGUACUUCUCCUGCGGCCACCUGAAGCGUGCUCGUCGGCCUCAUAACACUCGGUCUGAGUCGCAACUUUGCGAGGCCUUCUCCUUGAGUAGACAGCCUUGUUCAUAUUGCGCUUCAUUUGUAUAUCGUCCACGUCCAGGUCCUCACUUGCCUGCUCUUCCUCGGGCUUGUAAGCAUCCUCCAGCGACUCACUGUUACUGCCUGGUGAAACCUCUUCGUGGUAAUCAGGGUCAUUGUCACCAUCUGGAGCUUCUCCAUUCUGUAAGGACUCAUUGCUCAGAAGAGUGUGAUUCUGCUCUCGUCUCUGCUGUUCGUCAAGGUAGUCAGCUGAAAGAGACCUCUCCGACUCGGACUCGCUAAUGAUCGCCCUUGCCACCACCUUUGUGUCUCCAUUUUCUACACGAGUCGCUUCAAGGCCUUUCUUGGUAUCACAAGGAACGUCUACCAGUUUAUCCUCUUCGGAGCUGCUGCUGCUGUGAUAAGGCAUGCGAGCACGCUUGGCUGCUUUCCCCUUCUUCCAUAUGUAUCCCUGUUUGUCGUCAGACGAAACAGCUUCAGUGGGAUUCUCGUCCGCGAUAAAACCAUCUGUUUCUGGAUGACUGUCAUUAGCCUCGGCCACGGGGACCUUAGAAGUGCCUUGUUCUGGUAUUUCGAGGCUCCGAAAAGUAUCCUCGUUGUUGGACGUUUGUGCACAGUUUCUCAACUUGAGUACUAACUUUCGCUGAGACCUUGGCCGCCUGCAUUCACCCACGUCCGAAGUCUCUGCGGGACUCUUCUUCGGAGGUUCAUCGUCUUCAGGUUCCUGAGUUUCUGUAAGAACUUUCCCGUUGCGUAGAAGCCUCUGGUUCUCGUUCUCUCCAGAUGUACCAGGUCUUUUGGCAUCCUCAGCGGCCAGGCGGCGUGCUUCGUCGUCUUCAUACUCAUGUAAGCUCGAAAACAUGGUCAACGCAUUCCGAGCUGCCAUCCUCAUAGGCCUCAAUGCAUGGUCCGGGUUUGACUUUCUUAUCCGCUUUCUAGACCUCAGCCUCUGCGUUUCCUCAGGCAUCAAAAGAGCAUUGUUUGACUCCUCCAAGCGCCUGCGCUUUUGCUUCCUCACCAAGGUUGCGAGUAUCUGUAGUGGACAAUCACCAUUGAAGUUAUCAGAGACGCAAAAGCUGGACGUACGUACCUCUCUCUUCUUUUUCCUUGUUCUUCGGUUACGAACCCCAUCAGAAUCAAUUUCGUCAAUUUCUUUGUCGGUUGUUUCCGAUUCACAGAUCGUACCACUUUCUUCAUUUCCAUCCUCGUCACUCGAGCUUUCUUCGCUCGCGCAGUAAUCAGAACCAGAAUCGUCACUCAAUCCAGUGACUUCUUCAUCCCAGUCCAUUGCCUCACCAUCCGCCGGUUGUUCUACCCAUCUGUUGCCUUGCUCGUUUGUUUGCUCGAUUGCUUGUAGAGCGGCAACUACUGCUUGAGGCUGAUCUUGAGGAAUGAACGCUGGAUCAUCAAACGUUCCCACUGCGAGCUGAACUGAUGGUGGUUGCCAGUAGCAACCUAGGAGUCCCAGACGACGUUGCUGGUACGAACUUUGAUAAGGUUCUGGAUAGGGAAUCAAGCCUGAAAAUGAAACAGAAAAAUAAGUUGGACGAGGUGAGAAGUCACCAGCUUACUUGCAUCGCACAAGAGAUCUUGAAGAUUCCUUUGAUGAGGAGGCAACUGAGUUUCCUGUAAAAGAAAGAUACUCAGUUUUUGCAAGAACAAUACCGGAAAAGAACAACACUCAGGACUAAAACUAAAUAAAAGCACUUACAUCAUUUUAUUUACCUGAUCGAGAACGUUUCCACGAGUAUCUCGAACAAGAGGCCGAUAAUCUCCAAGAAAAAGCUACACAGAACCCGAAAAACAAACAAACGCUGUUAGGAGAAGGAUAUGAAGCUAAUCUUCCUGAUACCUGGUCGUAUUUCGCAUCUUCGUCGUCUUGACUUGGGUAGAAAAAAGGUAGACCUGGCCGACCUCAUCGGAAACAACCAAUGAGGUUCCAUCCCUGAAAAUUGGCAAACAUGAGAACAGUAUAUGGACAUGAGAACAAGCUUACGGUGAAAAGUUGCCAUCGACAAGAUUAUAAUCUCCCGUCUCAAAUGUCCUUACUGGACGGCCCUCCCAGAUCUAAAACAAAAUUCGUGAUCAUUUUUUUUGAGAGAAUACACUUACAUCCCACACAAUAACUCGGCCAUUGUAGCCCGCACUCAUUGCAAUGCGAGGAUUGCAUGGAUGUACAUCUAGCACGUAAGUCUAAAUAAUAGAUGUUAAGAAAGAAUGGAAUCAAUAAAUUCCAUUUCAAUACCUGCUUGGUAUGGCCGGUUAAACAGUGCACCAGACUGCCAUCAACCGCAUUCCAGACACAUAUCCGGCAAUCUGCACAUCCAUGUUAUUCCAUAAAAUUAGUUCGUGAGGUAUCUUACCCAUAAUCGCGGCGAGUACAAAACGAUUGUCCAAACUCCAGACUAUCAUAUUAACACCUCGAGGAGUUGGAAGCAGUUUUUGUUGAGGUCCACCAGUUCGAACGGGAGGCUGUGGCAUCGGAGGGGGCGGUACUUUCAAAUGAUAAGCCUUUACCCAUCGACCUAGCUUCAGCUGGAGGAAAGAGGAGCAGUCAUGGCAUUAGUUACACAGAAAGAAAGGCCAUGCACACCUGUUUUCUAGGACGAGGAGACCAGAUAAUAGCAGUGCCGUCUCUUGAGCAAGUAACUAUGCUAUCUUGAGGAAACCUGAACAAAACCAACGUUAAAACCAGAUAGCAAUGAGCGGCACAGUAUACCAGGUUGUUUUGAACUUCGGUAUGUUGUCAGGGACGUUGUCAUCCUUCAAAAAGUCGACGGGAGAAACUUUGAUUGGCUCUGCACAACCACUGGAACAAAGGACGAUUGAUGUCAACGAGGACCAAGCCAAAGAGGCGAACCUGAACUGCACGUAGUUAACUACAUUCUCGUGUCCACUAAGAAUGUCAUGCUCAUGAUUUGGCCUUCCGGUGUACUCGUCCGCCCACUUUCUUGCGUUCCAAACCUGUUCUAACAAUUGUUAGAAAUAUAAAAAGUUCACUUUAAAUGCUUACCCUGGCAAGCUUGUCCGAACUCCCAGUGACAAAGUAUGAGCCAUCUGCAUUAAACGCACAGCACUGAAUCUGAUUCGUAGCCUGUGCUCGAUUCUCAGCUCCUGCAGCUGGAAACAAGCUUUUAGAAAACCGAAAAAACAUCGGCAGACUCUUUACAUUCGGGUUUGACAUCCGGCUUCGGCAUGUAGACACGUGAAUUUACAGAAGAAUCCCGAGCAUCCCAAAUACGGCAUGUUCCGUCUUCAGACGAACUUGAAACCACGAGAUUUUAAUACAACUAAAGUGGAAAGAGCAAAUUAUUAACACUUACGAUAGAAGAUGGUGCUCACAGCCCGGUCGGGGACUAAAUUUGAUGGCCGUUACGCCCGCCGUGUGGCCACGAAGUAUUGCAACCGGAACACCAUCUGGUAAUCCCCACUAUAGGCAGAAGCGAAAUGAGUCAAAACAAAAAACAAAAGCAGAAUACUUACAACACAGAUGGAGGAAUCGUUAGAAGCUGAUGCAACUCUAGUGUUCGAACUACUUACAGACAAAUCGGUUAUAUCCCCCUAAAAGCCAGGUUUUAGGCACAAUAUUCGAAACGGAUGCAGAAAAUAGUAUCUCGUGUCCUCUACAGCUACGAAGGCAAAGUCUAUUUUCUACGGACCAUAUCUUCACAAGCCGGUCGUCCGAGCCAGUGACAAGAUACCGUCCAGUACGAUCAAAAACGGCUGCACGUUUAUCGCUUCGUUAAUAGGUCUUGAAAACCAAAAAGAAAAGAAACACGUACCACAAUAUACCGCAUUACGAUGACCCCUUAGCACCUGGAUGAUUCUUAUUCUGUUCACCAGUACAGAAGGCUUGAUGAUAACAUGUUUCACAGUCUGUGAUGCUUUGCAAAUCCACCACCAAGUUCAUGGAACGCGGGAGCAUGAACUUGGUCAGCUUGCCAAUGCGGCCAUCGCAUUUGUUCUAUUCUCUUGGUAGAGAUACUAGUAGCAUUGCUUUGCUCCGCUGUAUGAAGUUUGCUCGGAUCAGCAACGGCAAGAUUCGAAAGGUACACGGCUUACAUUCCAAAAGCGAGAAUGCUCCUGACCCCAAAAGUGUAGGAACGUCCGCGGCGGUCAAUUGCUUGGGAACUUUCGCAUCAAGCAAGGACGCGGACGUGUCGUGAACAAGUAGUUGCUGCAAGAGCUUAACCAAGUGGUUGUUGUCAACGUUCUUAUAUCUGAAAAUCGAAAAAUAAAAAUAAAAAAUCCAUCCUUUUGUCAGCAAGACAAAUCCUAAGAAAGAAAGAACUUGGCGACACACAAUACCUCUCGGCAACUUGCGCGUAGCUGAGUGGGAACGACAAACCAUCGUCAUUCUCGUCGGCGGGUGGCGUUCCAUUCCUGAUGGUACCUCUGGGGCAAGAGCUUGUGCUGUAGGAGCUCGUUCCAGAGCUGGUCAGUGGCUCUCUCGUAAGGGCCUCUCCUCAGGAAGUGCAUGAUAACUUCCGCAACUCGAUCUCCUCGUCUUGUUCAUGCAGGUGAUGAUCAGCUCCAACAUCAGACCGUAAAGCCACCUACGUUAGUCAGUCUGCACGAGAGGUUAGCUAAGCUGCAUGAAGAUUGCACCCGAGUCUACUUGAAGACAGAAAACUUGAAAGCUUCGAUUCAAUGUUCCGUUACCAUACAAAGCAUUUGAACCCAGUGACUAUAUGCGAUAUCCGCAGCUCCAAAGGACCUCCUGAAUAAAUAGUCUCCUGAAUAAAUAGUUACACUCAUCCACCUACAAGGAAGUACCAAUUAGACAAUGCCAGGCCACGUUCAUGUCUAUGUUCUUGCCCGGAAAAAGACUUACUAUCAGAAGCUCACGACAUAUAAGCCUUUUUAUUUCGAAGAACGAAGAUCCGAAUCAGAAAAAAAUAUCCUGAGAAAAAAAAAGAACAGCUUUGUCGUUUCUAUGAAUCAACUACUGAUCAUUGAACCAGCAGCAGCGCCACUUACCCACCACUAUGCUCUUUGCACACGACUUGAUCAAGCCAUCCAAACCCUGAUCCAGUAUUUUAAAAGCCGCACAAAAUCUAGAUCUAACAAAUGCUUACCUGAUAGAGGGAUGUGGAAUAGUCGAUCAUGACUUGGUUGUGGGCUGCUAUAACAUCCUGGAGCAUGAAUGGGAUCCAUUUGUACAGCAGUGAGGGAGGAUUUGCAAGCGAUCCAUGGUGCAUUGUUGCCAUGGCUAGAGAAGUGAAUGUUGCAGCUAUGCAUGCUGCAAUCAAGGAGGACUUCCAAGCACUUCACGAUACAGUGAAGGAACCACGGCAACAACGUCUUAUUUUAUGGCACUAUGGAUUGUUGGCAAAUCCUCCCUCACUGCCGCACGAAUGCCAGAGGCCAUCACCUGGAGAUUCUCAGUCACAGCUCCCAUUCUUGCACACAUGGCAGAUGCCAGCACCAGCACACAAGCUGUGGUCACGAUGCACAGCACACUAAUCGCAAUGGUGCUAACAAGCACUAUGGCAAUCAAAAACUCCAUUGGCAAGGUUUGCAGCAAAGCCUUUGCAAAAUCGAAAAUGAAAUCAAAUUUACAGUAGUUAUGAAAGACACAAAUGACACUCUUACCAGAAGUUCGAGCCGCCCGCCCUAUCUUCGCAAGAACCCACAGUCGCUUUAUCUUACGUACAAUGGGCCACUGGCCACUUUCUUGGUGGGCCGCCAUUCGUACAGUGGUCUGGCGGGAACUCGAGUUCCUAGUGGAUUCUCGCGAUUUCUAUCAGUACACGGGCUCAAUGACAAGAGGAGGAGGAAGAGGAGAAGGAUGGCGCUCCAUCUCCUCGACUUCUUUCGUCCUCAUGGCUUUCCAGGUAUAAAAAGAUUGAGAGUGAUCCUCAGACUGAUCUCGUGUUUGACAAUGUAGAUGGAUGUGUAAGGAAAAUGUUUCUUUUCUUCGUUAACUAAGACCUCGAGAAAUUUUUUACAAAGCUCACAUUUGCAGUGCCUCAGAGAAGCGUUCUCUCAGCCACUCCACCUUGAGCACCGACGAAUGCUGUUUCCCAAAAUAUGUCCGGAAGUUGUCGAUCAGUAUCCUAAGAUCGUGUGACACCGCCAUCACGCUACGAUAAUAGUUGUUCUCCAGCCGCUCGCGAAUCACGUCCAUGGAGAUUGGUAGCGCAAUCCUGCAUUGAUUGAAAACCUUUAGCUUCUUUCUCAAUCGCAAGAGAUUUUUCCAACUUGCCUGUCAAGAAAAUCCGGCUUGCUCACGGCCUGCUGCAACCUCCACAAGUCAUACUCGUCCUGUGAAAAGCAAACGCUCGUCAAGCCAAGACCAAAACCGAAACAUUCCUCGAGUCUAUGAUCGAUCGCACAAAAACAAACCUUGGAUUGGUUCGAGUGGAGCACCUCGUCCACGAUGUCGAGCAGCUCACGCACCUUGUCCUGCUCGAUCUGUGGCGACUCCCAAGUUAAAGGAUUCUCAACGUCGUGAAGCUCCCAGGGGCAGUGGUUCGUCGUCGAUGGCUCGUCCUUGUACAGCACAUUGAUGCUGUCCCUGGGGCUGUUUGGAAACUCGGGCGACUUUCCCUUCACCUGAGUUAUCGUCCCUUCCCACCAGCGACCACCUUCUUCCUCGUCCGACCUCCACCACACUUGGCACUUGUCCCGACUGGACCACUUCCUGGCCAUGGAGGCCUCGUAGCGGCUUCUCUCCACUAUAAAGUCGGCGAAGUCUGUCAGCUCCGGCAAGUCGACGCUGAAGCUGCUGCCGCGAAUCCUGUACCCGUCCAUAAACUCAAGAGUCAGCCGGCAACAAGUGUUCCCCGACACUUCGAGAAUGAUGUACUCCAGUCCGGUGAUCUCGCAGAAGUCGACCACUUGCAGUUCCCUUUUCACGCUUCUCCAGGGACCAUCGUCGUCGAGCCGCUUGUUGUCUAAGUAGUCUUGAUGUCCCUGCGAUCGACAGUUUCAAUUCAAACAUAAUUCAAGACGAGCUCGUUGGAUCUCUUACCUGUCGGAAGUACACCACCUCAUCACCAUACUGUGGGAUGUAGCGCGUCCGCUCCACCUCUGUCAAGAGUAACCAGGACACGUUGCUCGGACUCCGAUGCACCGUGCUCAGGUUUCUCCUCACGUGGAAAUCCUUGUACCUCGACCCAACGUUCUUCUGCAGCUUCACUUUAAGUCUGCUCGAAGUUCUUCUUUCGGGCUUUCGGCGUCCAUCGUCGUCGCUGCUUCUAUCCCAGUCCGAGUCGUCGUAAGACGAGCUAGCUUCCCAGUGUGAGGGACGGCCGACGUUUCUCCUGCUUCUUGUGGACCUGCUGUUGGAGAGACUAACCACGCGACCCUGCGCCAGCCGUGUACUUCUCCUGCGGCCACCUGAAGCGUGCUCGUCGGCCUCAUAACACUCGGUCUUAGUCGCAACUUUGCGAGGCCUUCUCCUUGAGUAGACGGCCUUGUUCAUAUUGCGCUUCAUUUGUAUAUCGUCCACGUCCAGGUCCUCACUUGCCUGCUCUUCCUCGGGCUUGUAAGCAUCCUCCAGCGACUCACUGUUACUGCCGGGUGAAACCUCUUCGUGGUAAUCACUAUUCCGAGCUGCUGCUGUUGUGAUAAGGCAUGCGAGCACGCUUGACUGCUUUCCCCUUCUUCCAUAUGUAUCCCUGUUUGUCGUCAGACGAAACAGCUUCAGUGGGAUUCUCGUCCGCGAUAAAACCAUCUGUUUUUGGAUGACUGUCAUUAGCCUCGGACAUGGGGACUUUAGAAGUGCCUUGUUCUGGUAUUUCGAGGCUCUGAAAAGUAUCCUCGUUGUUGGACGUUUGUGCACAGUUUCUCAACUUGAGUACUAACUUUCGCUGAGACCUUGGCCGCCUGCAUUCACCCACGUCCGAAGUCUCUGCGGGACUCUUCUUCAGAGGUUCAUCGUCUUCACGUUCCUGAGUUUCUGUAAGAACUUUCCCGUUGCGUAGAAGCCUCUGGUUCUCGUUCUCUCCAGAUGUACCAGGUCUUUUGGCAUCCUCAGCGGCCAGGCGGCGUGCUCCGUCGUCUUCGUACUCAUGUAAGCUCGAAAACAUGGUCAAGGCAUUCC
This 24951-nucleotide long non-coding RNA is filed under the name Selaginella moellendorffii. RNAcentral's name for it is "long non-coding RNA (SMOE_LNC002090)". The stretch from base 6090 to 6199 matches the Rfam family "tRNA". Lineage: Eukaryota; Viridiplantae; Streptophyta; Lycopodiopsida; Selaginellales; Selaginellaceae. The record is from RNAcentral.